Molecule: ribosomal RNA, 334 nt
Filed under: uncultured bacterium
Lineage: Bacteria
Description: bacterial SSU rRNA
Rfam family: Bacterial small subunit ribosomal RNA
Source: RNAcentral
AGGGUUUGAUUCUGGCUCAGGAUGAACGCUAGCGAUAGGCUUAACACAUGCAAGUCGAGGGGCAGCGAGCGAGAUAGCAAUAUCUUGUGUCGGCGACCGGCGCACUGGUGAGUAACACGUAUGCAACCUGCCCUCUACAGGGGGAUAAUCCGGAGAAAUUCGGUCUAAUAUCCCAUAGUCCCUGAGUUUGCAUGAGCUUGGGGGGAAAGUUCCGGCGGUAGAGGAUGGGCAUGCGGCGCAUUAGCUGGUUGGCGGGGUAACGGCCCACCAAGGCGACGAUGCGUAGGGGUUCUGAGAGGAAGGUCCCCCACACUGGUACUGAGACACGGACCAG